This 1039-nucleotide ribosomal RNA is filed under the name Vibrio cholerae. Its description in RNAcentral is "partial 23S ribosomal RNA". It matches the Rfam family "Bacterial large subunit ribosomal RNA", at positions 93 to 1188 of the family's 2925-position model. Lineage: Bacteria; Pseudomonadati; Pseudomonadota; Gammaproteobacteria; Vibrionales; Vibrionaceae. The record is from RNAcentral.
AGCCGUUUGAGUCUGCGAUUUCCGAAUGGGGAAACCCAACUGCAUAAGCAGUUACUGUUAACUGAAUACAUAGGUUAACAGAGCAAACCGGGGGAACUGAAACAUCUAAGUACCCCGAGGAGAAGAAAUCAACCGAGAUUCCGGUAGUAGCGGCGAGCGAACCUGGAUUAGCCCUUAAGCACUCGGUGAAGUAGGUGAACAAGCUGGAAAGCUUGGCGAUACAGGGUGAUAGCCCCGUAACCGACGCUUCAUCGAGCGUGAAAUCGAGUAGGGCGGGACACGUGAUAUCCUGUCUGAAUAUGGGGGGACCAUCCUCCAAGGCUAAAUACUCCUGACUGACCGAUAGUGAACCAGUACCGUGAGGGAAAGGCGAAAAGAACCCCUGUGAGGGGAGUGAAAUAGAACCUGAAACCGUGUACGUACAAGCAGUAGGAGCACCUUCGUGGUGUGACUGCGUACCUUUUGUAUAAUGGGUCAGCGACUUAUAUUCAGUGGCAAGGUUAACCGUAUAGGGGAGCCGUAGCGAAAGCGAGUCUUAACUGGGCGCUCAGUCUCUGGAUAUAGACCCGAAACCGGGUGAUCUAGCCAUGGGCAGGUUGAAGGUUGAGUAACAUCAACUGGAGGACCGAACCGACUAAUGUUGAAAAAUUAGCGGAUGACUUGUGGCUAGGGGUGAAAGGCCAAUCAAACUCGGAGAUAGCUGGUUCUCCCCGAAAGCUAUUUAGGUAGCGCCUCGGACGAAUACUACUGGGGGUAGAGCACUGUUAAGGCUAGGGGGUCAUCCCGACUUACCAACCCUUUGCAAACUCCGAAUACCAGUAAGUACUAUCCGGGAGACACACGGCGGGUGCUAACGUCCGUCGUGGAGAGGGAAACAACCCAGACCGCCAGCUAAGGUCCCAAAGUAUUGCUAAGUGGGAAACGAUGUGGGAAGGCUCAGACAGCUAGGAUGUUGGCUUAGAAGCAGCCAUCAUUUAAAGAAAGCGUAAUAGCUCACUAGUCGAGUCGGCCUGCGCGGAAGAUGUAACGGGGCUAAGCA